Molecule: unclassified non-coding RNA, 311 nt
Filed under: Hevea brasiliensis (rubber tree)
Lineage: Eukaryota; Viridiplantae; Streptophyta; Magnoliopsida; Malpighiales; Euphorbiaceae
Source: RNAcentral
UGCAAAGUUUCCAGUGCUAUCAGAAAUGGCUCUGCUGCUCCAGCCACAUGCUUCAAUUUCUUCGAUCUCAUCUUCUUCUUCAACUUUCUUCGCGCAACGCUCGAAGUUCUUGGCCCCAAAACCUCAAAAAAUUAUUAUCAAAAGAGUCACCAGCGAUUCUUCAUCACCCUGCAAAGCAUCAUGGCAAGAGCUUGCUGGAGUUCUUGUAUUCUCGGCGAUUCCUUUCACGGCGGUGAAAGCCAUUGCCAAUAGCCCCCUGGGUGAGUCGCUUCAGCGUCGAAUGGAGGAGAAGAAGAAAGUUGCAAUCCAGG